UGGGGAAUUUUGGACAAUGGGCGAAAGCCUGAUCCAGCAAUGCCGCGUGUGUGAAGAAGGCCUUCGGGUUGUAAAGCACUUUUGUCCGGAAAGAAAUCCUUGGCUCUAAUACAGUCGGGGGAGUGACGGUACCGGAAGAAUAAGCACCGGCUAACUACGUGCCAGCAGCCGCGGUAAUACGUAGGGUGCAAGCGUUAAUCGGAAUUACUGGGCGUAAAGCGUGCGCAGGCGGUUUGCUAAGACCGAUGUGAAAUCCCCGGCUCAACCUGGGAACUGAUUGGUGACUGGCAGGCUAGAGUAUGGCAGAGGGGGGUAGAAUUCCACGUGUAGCAGUGAAAUGCGUAGAGAUGUGGAGGAAUACCGAUGGCGAAGGCAGCCCCCUGGCAAGUACUGACGCUCAUGCACGAAAGCGUGGGGAGCAAACNGGAUU
RNAcentral lists this ribosomal RNA (430 nucleotides) under uncultured bacterium. RNAcentral describes it as "partial 16S ribosomal RNA". It matches the Rfam family "Bacterial small subunit ribosomal RNA", at positions 355 to 779 of the family's 1533-position model. The record is from RNAcentral.